GGACAAUUCCCCUCCGAGAUGUUGAUCCGCGCGCCACUCUCCUCGCGGAUCCUCUUAACCGACUCCCCUUUCUUCCCAAUGAUGCUUCCUACUUCCUUUCCGUGCAUAAGAAGCCGAAUGAGGAAGACACUUAAAGAUGAAGUGCUUAAUUCAAGGUCACAGAAUGUCGGGGAUGGACCUCCAGAUUUCCUUACUGACCUGCAUUAUCUUGUGGAUACCUGAGUGAAUUCCACACCACCCAUUUUAUAGAUGAAGCCACUGAGACGUGGAGCAACUGACUGAGUAGUCACUGCCCCACCCCUGCCUGGAGCCUCACACAUGACUUCUCUUAGUGACCACAGGUUGGUUGAGGGGUUUAACAAGGCUAAGAAGGUGAGACGUGGUCUUGUAACACAGUGGUUAAGAAUGUGACUUUGGAGCCAGCCUGCUAGGGGCUGAAUUCUGACUCAGCCAUUUAUUAACUGUGUGACCUUAGGUCAUAGAAUUUUCCACACUCCUUGACGGAGGUUCUUAACCCUUAUCCAUCAGCAUUCUCAGACAGCACCU
This 546-nucleotide non-coding RNA is filed under the name Pongo abelii (Sumatran orangutan). Lineage: Eukaryota; Metazoa; Chordata; Mammalia; Primates; Hominidae. The record is from RNAcentral.